Molecule: RNA transcript, 5748 nt
Organism: Myxocyprinus asiaticus (Chinese sucker)
Lineage: Eukaryota; Metazoa; Chordata; Actinopteri; Cypriniformes; Catostomidae
Gene name: nucleic acid dioxygenase ALKBH1-like
Exons: 9
Source: RefSeq, a predicted model, not a curated record
AAAAACUUCAAACACCCUUUUCCCUCCUCCUGCUGCUGCUGCUGCUGCUCGCCGCCGCCAUGUUUCGUCCUUGCCGAAUGUGUUUCCUUUGACCCUAAUCACGUGACUAGAACAAACCAAUAUUUACGUCUACGAUAUGAAACUAUAUAAUGAACUAAUUUAAAUAAUCUUUAUCGAUAUAUGUGAUGUUUAGAAUAAUAAUUUCACCCGCACAUUGUACAGAUUGCUUCUAAAUUAAAUCGUAGUUGUGCGUUGCGACGUCACGCGUCGAAAGGUCACAUGAUGACGGCAAAGAUGACGGCUUCCGUAGUGGAGCAUGGAGAAGAUGCUUUUAGGAAAUUAUUUAAGUUUUAUAAGCGGAGAAAUCCUCCCCCAGACUUCAGUGAGGUUGUUAAUUUCUCCAAACCUCUGAGUAAUGACAAGGUUUUUACCUGUGAACUAAACUCCAGCCCUGUCAGUGAGCAAGAGCUUUCCAAAGUGGGUCUUCGGCCAGUAAAAGACUGGAGAUCCUUUGGUCUGCAUGGAUAUCCAGGGUUUAUCUUCAUAUCCAAUCCAUUCCUGCCGGGAUCUCAGCAGUACUGGGUUAAGCAGUGUCUGAAGAGCUAUCCACAGAAACCCAACGUGUGUAACCUGGACAUGCAUAUGUCAUCUGCAGAGACCGAGAACAUCUGGGAAAGAAGCAUAGAUGCUAUUCGGAGGAAAGGCUCUGGGAAAAGAGAGCCCAAGACUCUGCUAGAAAAACUGCGCUGGGUGACUCUUGGCUACCACUAUGAUUGGAACUCCAAGACUUACACCCCAGACUACUACACUCCCUUCCCCAAAGAGCUUCACUCGCUGUCCCACAAAGUGUCUGAAGCUUGUGGCUUCCCUGGCUUUAACGCAGAGUCGGGUAUUCUUAAUUACUACCGAUCUGAUUCGUCGCUCGGUAUCCAUGUUGACGAAUCAGAGCUUGACCACACCCGACCUUUAUUGUCCUUCAGUUUUGGGCAGACUGCUGUCUUCCUUUUGGGCGGGGCAAAGCGGGAGGACUGCCCCACUGCCAUGUUCAUGCACAGUGGCGACAUAAUGGUGAUGUCAGGAGCCAGCCGCCUGCUGUAUCACGCAGUACCCUGCAUCGUUCCUGCGCCCGCUGGAAAAGGUUUGCCACCCUGCCUGGGCCAGAGACUAGAGAGGGAGGUGCAAAGUGAUGACAUCAUCCAAAGUGUGUCUGAAGAGGACUGGGAGGUUUGCUCCUGGUACUUGCAAACAUCUCGGGUUAACGUGACAAUUAGACAAGUACUGGGUUCCGGUCAGACUUUCCCAAGUACAGAGACCCUGAGUGGGGCGGUGGACACGUCAACAGACAGCUAUCCAAAAUCAGAAGAAGAGGAAGAACCUCAAAAAAAUAAGAAGAGGACAAGUGAAUCAGGCUAUGAGUAACGUGUUUUCAACUGAAACGGGAUAUUCAAUGAGAAGAAAAGUCUUUCUAGCAAGUCAGUCCACUGGUGGCCAUCUUUGGAAAACUCCCGGGAGACUAUUUCCAGUCAUGCCAGUGCAGCUCCUAUCUACAUGAAUGAGGGAAUACAGAAUUCUCAAAAACGAUGAUUUUAAGAUUUAUAAAGAAGCCUGCUACUCCCAGCUUUAUUAAACGUAUUUCAUCCUGUUAAAUAGACAUUUUAUGCUGAUACACUGGGUGAGGGCACAUAUUAUGUAUCUUGCAUUUUCCUAUCAGCUGGCCAGUGUUUAUCUCUAUAUAUUUUUCUUUCUGUCUUUUAAAAUGCCAGUCUCUCUGUUUAAUAUUUUGUUCAGCUCCAGUAAGUGUAUAUCUCUACUUUGCAGUUUAAGCUUUCAGACACUUUAUACUCAGCAGAGUGUUUGAAAUGUCACAGAGUGCUAUUUUUCAACACAAUGUAAACUUCUCAAAGGUCGCUCUAUUCAGUGGGUCGUACUGCUUUCCCCACUGAAUAGAGUUCUUUCGUUUAUGUGUUUCUUUUUUUUUUUCAGUUAAGUAGUGAGGGAUAUGAUGACAUCGUAACUCGGUCUUGUACCAUCACCCAAACUCUUCUCCAGUAACUCUGUGAUCUCUGCGCUUGUGUUCACUCACGAGCGAUGCUGGUAUCUGUAGUGGCUGGGAAACAUGUUUCUCUAUUUUAUUUCCUGUCUCCCCAAGCAACAUAACAUAUUUCUGCUUGCUAAUGCAUAAAUCACAGUUUACCUCCACAAUGUACCUUGUAGAGGAGUUAUUUUGUGACACUAUCAUAUGUAAAACAUGAUACUGUGGUUAGUGCAUGUUGGUCACAAUUCACAAUGUGCUCUUUUACUUAAAGGACCUCAACUGUACUGUACUACAAGGGCAAAAAGCCUAUACAGUAUUGAUUCUGUUACGAGAGUAUUUACGUUUUCUUUAUGCAAAUCUAGCUGCCACAAUGCUAGGGUGUUGUUGGUGGUUGCCAGGGUGUUCCAGUGAAGUUGUGUUCUUGGUGGUUAAUAGGGCAUUGCUAGGUGGUUGCUACUGCGUUCUAGGUGGUUUCUACAUGGUUACUUACUGGCCCAAGUCAAAAGAUCCCACCUCCAAGUCUCUAUAAUGCUCUCAUCUUUAGAUAUGUCUCAGGUUCCUCCUUCAGUCUAAGGGAUUUUUUUUUACCAAUUUGAUUAUCUGCCAAGUGAAAGUUUAAUUUGAGGCAUCAUUCAUGUGCGUAGCGCAACCAGUGUGAGACAAGUUACGUGCCAAAAUGUAAUACUUAAGCUUGAGAGUUUUGGGAAAAACAAUCAUACAUUCUCUAUUCCAGUUUUUGAGAUGGCAUAAAUGUUGCUUUUUGUUUUCACAGUGGUUGGGAUAACAAUAGACCUUGUGUUCAGGCCACCAGUAGAAUGACUUUCUGUCAUUCUUUCUGUAUCUCUCUGUCUCCCUCUCUUUCCUUCGAUCUGUCAUAAAAUCACAGAUUAGGUGAGAAAAUGUUCAGACAUACUGAGGAUUACCAGCUGCCGUCAUUAUGGUGAUGUGCGCUUUCAACAGGCAGAGCCCCUGGCUUCCCGGUGUGUUGAUUAUGGCCCAUUAUGUUAUUUGUGCAGACAUUGUUUUUAAUCGGCCUACGCCCGUUGCCAUGGCAGCAUGGAUGGUGUAAUGCUUUUGAGGGACUGAUGGGGCCUCGUAGCUUGCUGCGGUUUAAAACUGCAUAUACUGUUGUUUACCAUUCACCAAUUUGAACCCUGUGGUCUGCGGUGAUGCGUGAGGUGUGCAGGGCUGAAUCCCGAGAUAGUGUGUGUGUGUGCGCGCGCCAUGUGUUUCAUGUUGGUUUGCCUAUUCUUGGAUUGGUCAUCUCCUCUUUAUGCAUAGGUAUCUGUCCAACAUGAUUUCACGGGAAGUCAGCUUGUUGCUUCUGAAUAUUCCAGUAUCCUUACAUCAGCCCCAUUAUGCAGAAUUACUGACAAGCGGCAUCUCUCAUCGAACAUUUUUCAUCAGUUCAAGUGUGUUUAUGUUCUCCUGUGAUGCAACUAAAAGCAUGUUGUGUUAUCAGUGUGGGAGACCCGGGUUCUCGCCCCGCGUUGAAACCAGGAAGUUAUUAUGUUUGCAAAAUCAGUGAUGAGCGUGAUUCGGAGGUUGCAUUUUCCCUCUAAGUUUAAAUUUUUACUUCACUGACGGUUAGGUUUGGGCUAGGUGGUAGAGUUUACAAAAUAUACAGUACAUUCCUCUUCACAGUAUUACAUUUACAGCUAAAAACAACUAGCUUUUGGCGCCCCUCUGUGGGCAUUUCACUCAGAAACUGGAGCACACACGUGCUUUUACGAUCAGAAACACUUCCUGCUUCAGCCACUGGGGGCAAUGCUUUGGAUUUUGGUAAGAACAGACCGAAUUUAGUUACCUACUGUUUCCGAAUUCACUGUGAGAUCAGUCUGAUCCCUCAGCAUUAAAGCUUACCUUUGUUGACUCUGAACUAAGAAUUUUAACUCACAAUUUUGACUCGCAAAGGGUUUUGGAUGAGUAAUAUCAUGGUUGAAAGUACCUUGCACUACCAUGUAAAAUACCAUGGUAUUGGAAUAUGGUAACCAUACAGUACAAUGGGAGUACCAUAUCACCAUCUGAUACCAUCAUUGUACCACCACAAGACCUUUUUCUUUAAAUUAGUACUCUUACCCUCAUGAGAAAUCCCAUUAAACUGACACUUUAAAAAUUAUUUCAGUAAAUUUUCAGUCUCUGAAAUGAGUCACCUUUAAAUAACAUAUUAUGAAUUCAUUAUAAAUAUGAAGUGUUUCAUUGAAAUUAAUGAGGCGUAUGAACUUUUAAAAUUUGGUAAACAAAAUUUGCAAGUUUUAAAGUCUGGUAAAUGACAAUGUAACUACAUUUACUACGGCAUUAAUUGAAGUAAUUUUAUGCUUUGGAAAGUUAUAUCAUAUUUAAAUGAAUAAUUUAAAUAAUUUGUUUAAAUCUUACUUUUGCCAGUAAUCAUAUUUUGAGUGGAAUUUUGUUUUGUUACUAACUGGUAGAAAUUUAGGGUCUCUCUAUGAACAUGAAUAAUGUGAAUUAUUUAGCACAUAUAAUUCAUUUCUAGAUUACUGUCAAAAUGAAAGUACAUUAUUUUGUAUCAUUAGCGUGUUAGUUUUAAUGUUUGCUGAUCUUUGCUGCAUAAAUGAAGUCUCAAAGCCUCCUUAAUUUCUACAUAAUUUAUUUUAAAUAAUAAGAUCCACAUUUUGCAUUUCUGAAAAACAUUGUGAAUCUGAGAAAGUGAAUGGUUUGGGUGCAUAUUUUCCUUUGAUAUUUCAGAUUAGCCUAAAGUGAGAGGACAAUUGCUUACAUUUUAUCUAAGAUCCUUGCAUGUUGCAAAGUGCAAAAUGCUCUUUUUUUCUUUCUGUGUCUUUCUCUUCCUCUCUCCCUUUUGGCAGCCUGUAAUUUUACUGUUUCAAUCACACUGGCUCCCAUGGCAACUCUGUCUGCUGAGUAGCCAGACAAGCUCUGUGAAAUUGUUCCAGGGCUUCUGUAAUUGGGUCCAGGUUAGAUGCAGAAAGUAAUGUAGUGCGCCGGGAACAUUAUAGAUGCCCACUGUAUGUGGGGUGGACGGCAAUGUUAGCUUUGAUGUGACAAUAUGUUACCUUUCACAUUAUGUCAGUCAAUGCGCAACAGCUCUUUUGAUAAAAGGCUCUACAAAAUAAAGAUAAAUAUCUGCAGGCCCUUGGUAAUAGGAACCAUAUGUUAUAAGAGAUGCUAUUUUGAUAAUCUAUUAUGAUCUGGAUAACCUGCAUAGAUGGAGGAGACAGUCAGACAAUACAUUGGUAAUAAAUAUUGAGAACAAUAUAUGUAUCCUCUCUUAUUUCUUUGUUUCUAACUUGGUAUAUGUAAAACAAAUUUAUUCUUUAAAAAGGAGCAAGAACAGCUUUGUGUAAAAAAAAAAAAAAAAAUGCAAUUAAAAUGUACAUUAUUAUUCAGAAUACUCCAUUACUGGGCAUAAAGCAAGAAGCUUUGAGGUAGUAAUAAUUCUCACUCAUGCUAUCUGCACUGAACUGAGUUCAGAGCAGCAUUGCCAGGUUUAUCCCUCAUGUGAGUGCUGUGGUCCAUUAGCGUCACCAAAUGGACAUUAAAUAUGCAAAGCAAAAUCUAAGCAGGUGCUCUUACUGGACGUCUCUGCUUGAUUGUGCCCUGAAGACAUCCAGAAUAAGCAAAAACAUGUUUACACACAUGCUUAGAAAUCUGAUAGUGUGAGAACACAAUGAAAGAAUAUGAACUCUGAUUAGAUAAGACACUCGCAAUUUUUACAAUUCUGAUUAUACGCACAC